AUCCUACGGGGGGCAGCAGUGAGGAAUAUUGGUCAAUGGGCGAGAGGCUGAACCAGCCAAGUCGCGUGAGGGAAGAAUGUCCUAUGGAUUGUAAACCUCUUUUGUCAGGGAGCAAAGUCACCCACGUGUGGGUGUUGGAGAGUACCUGAAGAAAAAGCAUCGGCUAACUCCGUGCCAGCAGCCGCGGUAAUACGGAGGAUGCGAGCGUUAUCCGGAUUUAUUGGGUUUAAAGGGUGCGUAGGCGGAAUAUCAAGUCAGCGGUAAAAAUUCGGGGCUCAACCCCGUCGUGCCGUUGAAACUGAUGU
Molecule: ribosomal RNA, 305 nt
Filed under: uncultured bacterium
Lineage: Bacteria
Description: bacterial SSU rRNA
Rfam family: Bacterial small subunit ribosomal RNA
Source: RNAcentral